This 460-nucleotide ribosomal RNA is filed under the name uncultured bacterium. RNAcentral's name for it is "partial 16S ribosomal RNA". It matches the Rfam family "Bacterial small subunit ribosomal RNA", at positions 338 to 795 of the family's 1533-position model. The record is from RNAcentral.
CCUACGGGAGGCAGCAGUGAGGAAUAUUGGUCAAUGGGCUUACGCCUGAACCAGCCAAGUCGCGUGAGGGAAGACUGCCCUAUGGGUUGUAAACCUCUUUUGUCAGGGAGCAAUUGGCGCUACGUGUAGCGUUAUCGAGAGUACCUGAAGAAAAAGCAUCGGCUAACUCCGUGCCAGCAGCCGCGGUAAUACGGAGGAUGCGAGCGUUAUCCGGAUUUAUUGGGUUUAAAGGGUGCGUAGGCGGAAUGCCAAGUCAGCGGUAAAAUCGCGGGGCUCAACCUCGCUCCGCCGUUGAAACUGGCGUGCUUGAGUGGGCGAGAAGUAUGCGGAAUGCGUGGUGUAGCGGUGAAAUGCAUAGAGAUCACGCAGAACUCCGAUUGCGAAGGCAGCAUACCGGCGCCCAACUGACGCUGAAGCACGAAAGCGUGGGUAUCGAACAGGAUUAGAUACCCUUGUAGUC